AUAGUAAAUCCGUCACUAUUAUCACCAAAAUUCAGUGGUGGAUUGUUGCAAUUUUGGAGUCACAUAAUCCCCUUCUUCUUGCGAACAAUCCUAAAUUGAUUUUUUCAUUAUAUCUGUAACCAUUUCUUCUACAUCUUAGAUCUUAUUUUCGAUCUACAGUAACCUCAUCAAUUUCCAUAUUUCCAGCUCAAUUCCUAUCCGAUUUCAUGGAAGGAAUGUUUUGUGUUUGAGUUCUGAGUAUUGAAUCUAAUGGAAGCGUCGUCCUCUCCCCAGCCUUGUGCUGUGGGAGAGGCUUCUAAAAUCAUCUCAGAAAAUCAAACUGGACAUAGAUUCAAACAGUCAUAUGCGUCGCUUUUUGCUGGACAGCAAACUGCCGAAACAAAAUCAAAGCUGGAGCUCUGUCCAGUUUCGUUCGAUCAAGGUUUGCCGGCUGGACAGCAAACUGCCGAGACAAAAUCAAAGCUAGAGCUCUGUCCAGUUUCGUUCAAGCAAGGAUUGCCGAUAGUUGAGUUUACAGUGGAUGAAAUAAAUUCAUUCACAGUAAAUUCAUUUACUGUGACCACUAGACAUGAAUGGCUAAUGGUGUUGGUGCUUUAAUUUUAUCAUCUUUGUAUAUGAAUAAAUAAUGGUAUCGGCACUUUAGUUUUACCAUAUAUUCACUGGAUUUAUAAUGAUUAAUGGAGUUUGUAAGAAAUUGUAACCACAUGAAGUGGUAAAAUCUCUAUGUCCUGCCAUGAUUAAAUUCAUGUAUGAUUGUGGGCAAAGAAUUAAAAAGAUCUUGCCAUUUAUGACAGAUUGCAAAAGAAUGAAGCUAUAAUUUGUAUUCUCUUUCUUUUAGUGGCAACUGUAUUGAACUAACACGUAAGUCUUUUCACA
This 876-nucleotide long non-coding RNA is filed under the name Nicotiana benthamiana. RNAcentral describes it as "long non-coding RNA (NBEN_LNC034645)". Lineage: Eukaryota; Viridiplantae; Streptophyta; Magnoliopsida; Solanales; Solanaceae. The record is from RNAcentral.